UGGGGAAUUUUGGACAAUGGACGCAAGUCUGAUCCAGCCAUGCCGCGUGCGGGAAGAAGGCCUUCGGGUUGUAAACCGCUUUUGUCAGGGAAGAAACGAGUUUCUCUAAUACAGAGACUUAAUGACGGUACCUGAAGAAUAAGCACCGGCUAACUACGUGCCAGCAGCCGCGGUAAUACGUAGGGUGCAAGCGUUAAUCGGAAUUACUGGGCGUAAAGCGUGCGCAGGCGGUCAUGCAAGACAGAUGUGAAAUCCCCGGGCUCAACCUGGGAACUGCCUAUGUGACUGCAUAGCUAGAGUACGGUAGAGGAGGAUGGAAUUCCGCGUGUAGCAGUGAAAUGCGUAGAUAUGCGGAGGAACACCGAUGGCGAAGGCAAUCCCCUGGACCUGUACUGACGCUCAUGCACGAACGCGUAGGGAGCAAACA
RNAcentral lists this ribosomal RNA (427 nucleotides) under uncultured bacterium. RNAcentral's name for it is "bacterial SSU rRNA". It matches the Rfam family "Bacterial small subunit ribosomal RNA", at positions 355 to 774 of the family's 1533-position model. The record is from RNAcentral.